This 1383-nucleotide ribosomal RNA is filed under the name uncultured bacterium. RNAcentral describes it as "bacterial SSU rRNA". It matches the Rfam family "Bacterial small subunit ribosomal RNA", at positions 18 to 1395 of the family's 1533-position model. The record is from RNAcentral.
CCUGGCUCAGGAUGAACGCUAGCUACAGGCUUAACACAUGCAAGUCGAGGGGCAGCAUUUUAGUUUGCUUGCAAACUGAAGAUGGCGACCGGCGCACGGGUGAGUAACACGUAUCCAACCUGCCGAUAACUCGGGGAUAGCCUUUCGAAAGAAAGAUUAAUAUCCGAUAGUAUAUUAAAACCGCAUGGUUUUACUAUUAAAGAAUUUCGGUUAUCGAUGGGGAUGCGUUCCAUUAGUUUGUUGGCGGGGUAACGGCCCACCAAGACUACGAUGGAUAGGGGUUCUGAGAGGAAGGUCCCCCACAUUGGAACUGAGACACGGUCCAAACUCCUACGGGAGGCAGCAGUGAGGAAUAUUGGUCAAUGGACGAGAGUCUGAACCAGCCAAGUAGCGUGAAGGAUGACUGCCCUAUGGGUUGUAAACUUCUUUUAUAUGGGAAUAAAGUAUUCCACGUGUGGGAUUUUGUAUGUACCAUAUGAAUAAGGAUCGGCUAACUCCGUGCCAGCAGCCGCGGUAAUACGGAGGAUCCGAGCGUUAUCCGGAUUUAUUGGGUUUAAAGGGAGCGUAGGUGGAUUGUUAAGUCAGUUGUGAAAGUUUGCGGCUCAACCGUAAAAUUGCAGUUGAAACUGGCAGUCUUGAGUACAGUAGAGGUGGGCGGAAUUCGUGGUGUAGCGGUGAAAUGCUUAGAUAUCACGAAGAACUCCGAUUGCGAAGGCAGCUCACUAGACUGCAACUGACACUGAUGCUCGAAAGUGUGGGUAUCAAACAGGAUUAGAUACCCUGGUAGUCCACACAGUAAACGAUGAAUACUCGCUGUUUGCGAUAUACAGUAAGCGGCCAAGCGAAAGCAUUAAGUAUUCCACCUGGGGAGUACGCCGGCAACGGUGAAACUCAAAGGAAUUGACGGGGGCCCGCACAAGCGGAGGAACAUGUGGUUUAAUUCGAUGAUACGCGAGGAACCUUACCCGGGCUUAAAUUGCAACAGAAUAUAUUGGAAACAGUAUAGCCGUAAGGCUGUUGUGAAGGUGCUGCAUGGUUGUCGUCAGCUCGUGCCGUGAGGUGUCGGCUUAAGUGCCAUAACGAGCGCAACCCUUAUCUUUAGUUACUAACAGGUCAUGCUGAGGACUCUAGAGAGACUGCCGUCGUAAGAUGUGAGGAAGGUGGGGAUGACGUCAAAUCAGCACGGCCCUUACGUCCGGGGCUACACACGUGUUACAAUGGGGGGUACAGAAGGCGGCUACCUGGUGACAGGAUGCUAAUCCCAAAAACCUCUCUCAGUUCGGAUCGAAGUCUGCAACCCGACUUCGUGAAGCUGGAUUCGCUAGUAAUCGCGCAUCAGCCAUGGCGCGGUGAAUACGUUCCCGGGCCUUGUACACACCGCCC